RNAcentral lists this ribosomal RNA (477 nucleotides) under Triticum aestivum (bread wheat). Its description in RNAcentral is "partial small subunit ribosomal RNA". The record is from RNAcentral. Lineage: Eukaryota; Viridiplantae; Streptophyta; Magnoliopsida; Poales; Poaceae.
AUGUUCCCUAUGGUAACUGGGUUCAUGAGUUAUGGUCAACAAACAAUACGUGCUACAAGGUACAUAGGUCAAAGUUUCAUAACUACCUUAUCCCACACAAAUCAUUUACCUAUAACGAUUCACUACCCUUAUGAAAAAUCAAUUACACCAGAGCAUUUCCGAGGGUGAAUCCACUUUGAAUUCGAUAAAUAUUUGAAAAGGAUAUUAAGAAAACAAUUUCUUAAUUACAGUAUUGAUUUUGGAGUUUGUAUAUUUUGUGGCAAUUUUGUUGAGUAUUGUCCAACAAGUUGUUUAACAAUAACUGAAGAAUAUGAACUUUCUACCUAUGACCGUCAUGAAUUGAAUUACAAUCAAAUUCCUUUAAGUCGGUUACCAAUCUCCAUAACGGAAGAUUACACAAUUCAAACAAUUGGGAAUUCGUCUGAAAGUAAAAUAAACAAAGAAUCUUCGAAUUCAAGAACGAUUACUGAUUACUAA